This 341-nucleotide ribosomal RNA is filed under the name uncultured Anaerolineaceae bacterium. RNAcentral describes it as "bacterial SSU rRNA". It matches the Rfam family "Bacterial small subunit ribosomal RNA", at positions 1029 to 1382 of the family's 1533-position model. Lineage: Bacteria; Bacillati; Chloroflexota; Anaerolineae; Anaerolineales; Anaerolineaceae. The record is from RNAcentral.
CUUGAACAGGUGCUGCAUGGCUGUCGUCAGCUCGUGUCGUGAGAUGUUCGGUUAAGUCCGCUAACGAGCGCAACCCUCGCUGUGUGUUACAAGUGUCACACGGAACUGCCGGUCAUAAACCGGAGGAAGGUGGGGAUGACGUCAAGUCAGCAUGGCCUUUAUAUCCUGGGCUACACACACGCUACAAUGGGAAGGGACAAUAGGUUGCGAAGCCGCGAGGCGGAGCCAAUCCAGCAAAACUUCCCUCAGUUCAGAUUGCAGGCUGCAACUCGCCUGCAUGAAGUUGGAGUUGCUAGUAAACGCAGGUCAGCCAUACUGCGUUGAAUACGUUCCCGGGGCUU